Molecule: ribosomal RNA, 253 nt
Filed under: uncultured prokaryote
Description: partial 16S ribosomal RNA
Rfam family: Bacterial small subunit ribosomal RNA
Source: RNAcentral
ACAGAGGGUGCGAACGUUGUUCGGAAUUACUGGGCGUAAAGCGCGUGUAGGCGGCUCUGGAGGUCGGAUGUGAAAGCCCUGGGCUCAACCCAGGAAGCGCAUUCGAAACCCUCGAGCUCGAGUCCCGGAGAGGAAGGCGGAAUUCUCGGUGUAGAGGUGAAAUUCGUAGAUAUCGAGAGGAACACCUGCGGCGAAGGCGGCCUUCUGGACGGUGACUGACGCUGAGACGCGAAAGCGUGGGGAGCGAACAGGA